AGCGUAGACGGUGUGGCAAGUCUGAUGUGAAAGGCAUAGGCUCAACCUGUGGACUGCAUUGGAAACUGUCACACUUGAGUGCCGGAGGGGUAAGCGGAAUUCCUAGUGUAGCGGUGAAAUGCGUAGAUAUUAGGAGGAACACCAGUGGCGAAGGCGGCUUACUGGACGGUAACUGACGUUGAGGCUCGAAAGCGUGGGAGCAAACA
Molecule: ribosomal RNA, 206 nt
Filed under: uncultured bacterium
Lineage: Bacteria
Description: partial 16S ribosomal RNA
Rfam family: Bacterial small subunit ribosomal RNA
Source: RNAcentral